This 76-nucleotide transfer RNA is filed under the name Clostridia bacterium. RNAcentral describes it as "tRNA-Thr". It matches the Rfam family "tRNA". Rfam says of the family: Transfer RNA (tRNA) molecules are approximately 80 nucleotides in length. Their secondary structure includes four short double-helical elements and three loops (D, anti-codon, and T loops). Further hydrogen bonds mediate the characteristic L-shaped molecular structure. tRNAs have two regions of fundamental functional importance: the anti-codon, which is responsible for specific mRNA codon recognition, and the 3' end, to which the tRNAs corresponding amino acid is attached (by aminoacyl-tRNA synthetases). tRNAs cope with the degeneracy of the genetic code in two manners: having more than one tRNA (with a specific anti-codon) for a particular amino acid; and 'wobble' base-pairing, i.e. permitting non-standard base-pairing at the 3rd anti-codon position. Lineage: Bacteria; Bacillati; Bacillota; Clostridia. The record is from RNAcentral.
GCUAGUGUAGCUCAAUAGGCAGAGCAGCUGAUUUGUAAUCAGCAGGUUGCUGGUUCGAUUCCGGUCACUAGCUCCA